GCUCCUGAAGAAUGUGAACUAUGUCUUUCAUCUUUAGAGCCCUGGAGUCUGGCACGUAGGGAGGAGCAAGGUGCAGUCUGCAGCAAGCCCUCUCCUGUCAACCAGCUGCUAUCACUCACUGGAGGAGGAUAGAGCGAUUCCUGUAACAGUGUGGGACAAAGCAAGAGCCACAAAGCUGGAUUUUAAAACAAUAUAUAAACUUAAAUGACUGAUCUUAAUAUUUUACAAAUGAAGUUGGAGAAUGGGAAAGAAGCUUUGAAGAUUGUCCCUUUAAGCUAGGUCAGAGAGAGGCCACGUUUCCAGGAAACCAGAACACCAAAUUAAUUUAACCAACAUUACUUUAAAAAAUAUACCAAUUCUGGCAAAAAAAAAAAAAAAAAGAAGGAAAGAAAGUAUAUCAAAUCAAUUGUCUUAUGUGUAAGUGUCUGCUUAGUGGUUUUGUGGUGUAGAUGAAUAGUAAGAAAGGCCAGCAUCCUCUUAUUUACUAUCACCACAGUGAAUUAAUUUAAAC
Molecule: long non-coding RNA, 511 nt
Filed under: Mustela putorius furo (domestic ferret)
Lineage: Eukaryota; Metazoa; Chordata; Mammalia; Carnivora; Mustelidae
Description: lncRNA (ENSMPUG00000026951.1)
Source: RNAcentral